Molecule: ribosomal RNA, 420 nt
Filed under: uncultured bacterium
Lineage: Bacteria
Description: bacterial SSU rRNA
Rfam family: Bacterial small subunit ribosomal RNA
Source: RNAcentral
AUUGAACGCUGGCGGCAUGCCUUACACAUGCAAGUCGAACGGCAGCGCGGGGCAACCUGGCGGCGAGUGGCGAACGGGUGAGUAAUAUAUCGGAACGUGCCCUGGAGUGGGGGAUAACGUAGCGAAAGUUACGCUAAUACCGCAUACGAUCCAAGGAUGAAAGCAGGGGACCUUCGGGCCUUGUGCUCCUGGAGCGGCCGAUAUCUGAUUAGCUAGUUGGUGGGGUAAAAGCCUACCAAGGCGACGAUCAGUAGCUGGUCUGAGAGGACGACCAGCCACACUGGAACUGAGACACGGUCCAGACUCCUACGGGAGGCAGCAGUGGGGAAUUUUGGACAAUGGGGGCAACCCUGAUCCAGCAAUGCCGCGUGUGUGAAGAAGGCCUUCGGGUUGUAAGCACUUUGUUCAGGAACGAAACGG